Molecule: non-coding RNA, 94 nt
Organism: Arvicanthis niloticus (Nile rat)
Lineage: Eukaryota; Metazoa; Chordata; Mammalia; Rodentia; Muridae
Source: RefSeq, a predicted model, not a curated record
CUAGUCCAGGCUAUUCUAGAACUCAAUCUCUGUAAACCAGGCUGGCCUCAAGCUCGCAGAAAUCUACCUUCCUCUGUCUUUUGGGUACUGGGUU